RNAcentral lists this ribosomal RNA (253 nucleotides) under uncultured bacterium. RNAcentral's name for it is "partial 16S ribosomal RNA". It matches the Rfam family "Bacterial small subunit ribosomal RNA", at positions 524 to 776 of the family's 1533-position model. The record is from RNAcentral.
UACGGAGGGGGCUAGCGUUGUUCGGAAUUACUGGGCGUAAAGCGCGCGUAGGCGGUGAUCCAUGUCAGGGGUGAAAUCCUGGAGCUCAACUCCAGAACUGCCUUUGAUACUGAAGAUCUUGAGUUCGGGAGAGGUGAGUGGAACUGCGAGUGUAGAGGUGAAAUUCGUAGAUAUUCGCAAGAACACCAGUGGCGAAGGCGGCCCACUGGCCCGAUACUGACGCUGAUGCACGAAAGCGUGGGGAGCAAACAGG